This 202-nucleotide ribosomal RNA is filed under the name Kingella oralis. RNAcentral describes it as "partial 23S ribosomal RNA". It matches the Rfam family "Bacterial large subunit ribosomal RNA", at positions 1440 to 1644 of the family's 2925-position model. Lineage: Bacteria; Pseudomonadati; Pseudomonadota; Betaproteobacteria; Neisseriales; Neisseriaceae. The record is from RNAcentral.
CGUACUUGAUUCAAAUGCGAUGUGGGGACGGAGAAGGUUAUGCUGGCAAUCUGUUGGAAUAGAUUGUUUAAGCCGGUAGGUAGAAGGAGUAGGCAAAUCCGCUUCUUUAAUAUCGAGACGUGAUGACGAGUGUCUACGGACAUGAAGCAGCAAAUACCACGCUUCCAGGAAAAGCCACUAAGCUUCAGUUUGAAUUGAACCG